This 429-nucleotide ribosomal RNA is filed under the name Bacteroidota bacterium. RNAcentral's name for it is "Bacteroidetes bacterium partial 16S ribosomal RNA". It matches the Rfam family "Bacterial small subunit ribosomal RNA", at positions 355 to 776 of the family's 1533-position model. Lineage: Bacteria; Pseudomonadati; Bacteroidota. The record is from RNAcentral.
UAGGGAAUCUUCCGCAAUGGACGCAAGUCUGACGGAGCAACGCCGCGUGAGUGAAGAAGGAUUUCGGUUCGUAAAACUCUGUUGUUAGAGAAGAACAGCGCAUAGAGUAACUGUUAUGCGUGUGACGGUAUCUAACCAGAAAGCCACGGCUAACUACGUGCCAGCAGCCGCGGUAAUACGUAGGUGGCAAGCGUUGUCCGGAUUUAUUGGGCGUAAAGCGAGCGCAGGCGGUCAAUUAAGUCUGAUGUGAAAGCCCCCGGCUCAACCGGGGAGGGUCAUUGGAAACUGGUUGACUUGAGUGCAGAAGAGGAGAGUGGAAUUCCAUGAGUAGCGGUGAAAUGCGUAGAUAUAUGGAGGAACACCAGUGGCGAAGGCGACUCUCUGGUCUGUAACUGACGCUGAGGCUCGAAAGCGUGGGGAGCGAACAGG